UCUGCCUUGGAGUGGGGAAUAACGGCUGGAAACAGCCGCUAAUACCGCAUGAUGCAUCUGAGUCGCAUGGUUUGGAUGCCAAAGAUUUAUCGCUCUGAGAUGAGCUCGCGUCUGAUUAGCUAGUUGGCGGGGUAACGGCCCACCAAGGCGACGAUUGGUAGCCGGACUGAGAGGUUGAACGGCCACAUUGGGACUGAGACACGGCCCAGACUCCUACGGAAGGCAGCAG
This 229-nucleotide ribosomal RNA is filed under the name uncultured bacterium. RNAcentral describes it as "partial 16S ribosomal RNA". It matches the Rfam family "Bacterial small subunit ribosomal RNA", at positions 125 to 354 of the family's 1533-position model. The record is from RNAcentral.